GUUGGGAAUCUUGGACAAUGGGGGAAACCCUGAUCCAGCCAUGCCGCGUGAGUGAUGAAGGCCUUCGGGUUGUAAAACUCUUUCGACGGGGACGAUAAUGACGGUACCCGUAGAAGAAGCUCCGGCUAUCUUCGUGCCAGCAGCCGCGGUAAUACGAAGGGGGCUAGCGUUGUUCGGAAUUACUGGGCGUAAAGCGCGUGCAGGCGGCUUUUCAAGUCAGUGGUGAAAGCCUGGAGCUCAACUCCAGAACUGCCAUUGAAACUGCUAAGCUUGAGUACGAGAGAGGUGAGUGGAAUUCCCAGUGUAGAGGUGAAAUUCGUAGAUAUUGGGAAGAACACCAGUGGCGAAGGCGGCUCACUGGCUCGUAACUGACGCUCAGGCGCGAUAGCGUGGGGAUCAAACAGGAUUAGAAACCCCAGUAGUCC
This 425-nucleotide ribosomal RNA is filed under the name uncultured bacterium. Its description in RNAcentral is "partial 16S ribosomal RNA". It matches the Rfam family "Bacterial small subunit ribosomal RNA", at positions 354 to 796 of the family's 1533-position model. The record is from RNAcentral.